Olea europaea var. sylvestris is the source of this 317-nucleotide long non-coding RNA. RefSeq lists it as uncharacterized. Lineage: Eukaryota; Viridiplantae; Streptophyta; Magnoliopsida; Lamiales; Oleaceae. The transcript is spliced from 3 exons. The record is from RefSeq and is a predicted model, not a curated record.
GCUUUGAAAAGAGAGAAAAACAGUUUUUUCCCUACACUUAGAUUUCAUCAAAGCUCCGAUCUUGAGUCAUCCGUGGUCCAAUAGAGCUGAAAUGCAAGCUUGGAGGCAAUUGACUUGAUCAAGCAACUUUGUUCAUGGGACCCGUUAAAGAGGCCAACCGCAGAUCAAUGCUUACAGCAUCCAUUUUUCCAUGAUCAAAACCAAAUCUUGAACUGAACCUCUGGGACAAUGGCACUUCAAGGGAUGAUUGUUUUCUUGGCUUGACUCUGGCAGUGAACCCCAGUGCUUCAAACUUGGGUAAUAAAAUAGUGCUUUGA